RNAcentral lists this ribosomal RNA (458 nucleotides) under uncultured bacterium. Its description in RNAcentral is "partial 16S ribosomal RNA". It matches the Rfam family "Bacterial small subunit ribosomal RNA", at positions 338 to 795 of the family's 1533-position model. The record is from RNAcentral.
CCUACGGGUGGCAGCAGUGAGGAAUAUUGGUCAAUGGGCGAGAGCCUGAACCAGCCAAGUCGCGUGAGGGAGUACUGCCCUAUGGGUUGUAAACCUCUUUUGUCGGGGAGCAAAAGCCGGACGUGUCCGGCUGUGAGAGUACCCGAAGAAAAAGCAUCGGCUAACUCCGUGCCAGCAGCCGCGGUAAUCCGGAGGAUGCGAGCGUUAUCCGGAUUUAUUGGGUUAAAAGGGUGCGCAGGCGGAUUUUUAAGUCAGCGGUAAAAUCGUGGGGCUCAACCCCAUCCAGCCGUUGAAACUGGGGAUCUAGAGUGUGCGAGAGGUAUGCGGAAUGCGUGGUGUAGCGGUGAAAUGCAUAGAUAUCACGCAGAACCCCGAUUGCGAAGGCAGCAUACCGGUGCACAACUGACGCUCAGGCACGAAAGCGUGGGUAUCGAACAGGAUUAGAUACCCCGGUAGUC